AUUCUUUUCUAGUUUAUAAGCAUGAUGAUUGAGUAUUUACAUGCUGGUGUGACAUGUACCUCACUUAAACUUUGUUAUGACACUGGCAUAUAACUUGUUUGGAG
Small nucleolar RNA from Suncus etruscus (white-toothed pygmy shrew), 104 nucleotides. RefSeq annotates it as small nucleolar RNA U13. Lineage: Eukaryota; Metazoa; Chordata; Mammalia; Eulipotyphla; Soricidae. The transcript has a single exon. The record is from RefSeq and is a predicted model, not a curated record.